This 433-nucleotide ribosomal RNA is filed under the name uncultured bacterium. Its description in RNAcentral is "partial 16S ribosomal RNA". It matches the Rfam family "Bacterial small subunit ribosomal RNA", at positions 29 to 507 of the family's 1533-position model. The record is from RNAcentral.
AACGAACGCUGGCGGCAUGCCUAACACAUGCAAGUCGAACGAGACCUUCGGGUCUAGUGGCGCACGGGUGCGUAACGCGUGGGAACCUGCCCUUAGGGUCGGAAUAACUCCCCGAAAGGGGUGCUAAUACCGGAUAAUGUCUUCGGACCAAAGAUUUAUCGCCUUUGGAUGGGCCCGCGUUGGAUUAGCUAGUUGGUAGGGUAAAAGCCUACCAAGGCGACGAUCCAUAGCUGGUCUGAGAGGAAGAUCAGCCACACUGGGACUGAGACACGGCCCAGACUCCUCCGGGAAGCAGCAGUGGGGAAUAUUGGAACAUGGGCGAAAGCCUGUUCCAGCAAUGCCGCGUGAGUGAUGAAGGCCUUAGGGUUGUAAAGCUCUUUUACCCGGGAUGAUAAUGACAGUACCGGGAGAAUAAGCCCCGGCUAACUCCGUG